GUGAGAAGAAUCCGGAGGAGAUGAAUGAUAAAUAUCUAAGCGACAUAAUUCUGAACUUCAUGAUUUUUGGGAAAGAUACCAGUGCAAAUUCACUCUUAUGGUUCUUCUACAUGCUCAAUAAGAACCCUCUAGCAUAAUUUAUUGCUAUUCGAACAAGCUUCUAGUGCUUGCCCUCUUUUGUGCCCCUUUCAUAUUUGAUUGUGCUUUGGAAUAUUGGGACAUUUGGUUUAAAUUUCAGUUGGCAUUCUUCUAUCAUCUCUCUGACCUUGUUUUUGUGUCAAUGAUGCAGGAGUCCAUUCCUUCAACUUUCUUGGUUUGGGAUAUCAAGUGAACUGGCCCAUCAGCUUUGUUUUGACUCUUGGUGCAUUAAAAAUAUAUGCCGAGAUAUUCAGUUUUUUUAUACUAGUGAAACUUGCUUUGUUUUCAUUGACUGAUGUGUGGCGCCAAUUGAAGGGUUGAUGAAAUAAAAAUCACUAAUGCUUUACAAUAUGCAGCUAGUAUUGAGUACGUUACAAGGUGGAGUACCAAUAUUAGUCUUUGGUCAAACUGGGGUUCUAUAAGCUGAUUCUCCAAAUGAGGCCCUUCCUCUUAAUUGCAG
Long non-coding RNA from Rosa chinensis, 598 nucleotides. RefSeq lists it as uncharacterized. The transcript has 3 exons. The record is from RefSeq and is a predicted model, not a curated record. NCBI's taxonomy places the organism in Eukaryota, Viridiplantae, Streptophyta, Magnoliopsida, Rosales, Rosaceae.